GGAGAAAUGAAAUAAAUUUACAAAGGGAAUACACAUUAGUACAUUUAAUGACAGUCAACUAGUUGAUAAAUGUUGCAUCUUCCACCUUCUAACAACAUCUACUUUUCUCUAAAUUUUUCUUGGAAUACAAGUCUACAACAACACUUAACAAAAAUGAAUCCUUCACGUAUUAGUCAAAUAGGCCAUAUUUAUUUCUCAACAUACUUUUAUCUUGCUCAGUUUUAAUGCAUCAACUUGAGUAAAAAAAACUUAAAUACAAUAACAACAAAAUGGUACAUAUAUUAGGUCUUCUAGAAAAAAAUUCAAAUACCCAACUGAUUCUGCAGCUCAAGAAUAGUGAUAGCAGAGUCCCUAAGCCUCUUCAUCUCCUCUUCAGUCAUAUGAAUAUUAGUCACACCCAAUACACCUCCUCUACCAAGCUGUGCAGGCAAACUAAUAAACACUUCUCCACCAUCAAUGCCAUAAAAUCCCUUUGCAAGAACUGAAACAGGGUGAAUCUUCCUUUGAUUCCUCAUAAUUGUUCGAGCCAAGUUUGCGACGGAGUACCCUAUAGCCCAAGAAGUGUACCCUUUUAAACUGAUCACUUCAUAUGCGCCGUUUAUAACCUCCUUAUGUAUGUUCUCUAGCAUUUCUUUCUCAUAAGCUAUUUGUUGUUUCUCCAAAAAGCUUAGCACUGGAACACCUCCGACACUAAUGCUUGACCAUAAUGCCACUGAACUAUCACCAUGUUCCCCCACUAUUUGUACCUGCACAUCUUGAGCAUUAACAUCAAGAUGAUCAGCAAUAAGGAAACGGAAGCGAGAGGAAUCCAAAUUAGUGCCUGA
RNAcentral lists this long non-coding RNA (824 nucleotides) under Medicago truncatula (barrel medic). RNAcentral describes it as "lncRNA gene28680". Lineage: Eukaryota; Viridiplantae; Streptophyta; Magnoliopsida; Fabales; Fabaceae. The record is from RNAcentral.